Molecule: ribosomal RNA, 468 nt
Filed under: uncultured bacterium
Lineage: Bacteria
Description: partial 16S ribosomal RNA
Rfam family: Bacterial small subunit ribosomal RNA
Source: RNAcentral
GAUGAACGCUGGCGGCGUGCUUAACACAUGCAAGUCGAACGGAAAGGCCCUGCUCUUGCGGCGUGCUCGAGUGGCGAACGGGUGAGUAACACGCGAGUAACCUGCCCUUGUCUUUGGGAUAACUUCAGGAAACUGGGGCUAAUAUCGGAUAGGAGCUCCUGCUGCAUGGUGGGCGUUGGAAAGUUUCGGCGGUUGUGGAUGGACUCGCGGCUUAUCAGCUUGUUGGUGGGGUAGUGGCUUACCAAGGCUUUGACGGGUAGCCGGCCUGAGAGGGUGACCGGCCACAAUGGGACUGAGGGACGGACCAGACUCGUACGGGAGGCAGCAGUGGGGAAUAUUGCACAAUGGGCGGAAGCCUGAUGCAGCGACGCCGCGUGCGUGAUGACGGCCUUCGGGUUGUAAACCGCCUUCGCCUGUGACGAAGCGUGAGUGACGGUAAUGGGUAAAGAAGCACCGGCUAACUACGUG